GGCCGUCGUUCGUGCUGAUGCGAGUGUUGCAACGACAUACAUUCCCGCUGCUCCGAUUCUCCUUCCAGAAGGACCGUGGAAGCUGGUUACCGGUGGUGUUACUGCCGCGAAAGGGUUCAAAGCUGCAGGCAUAUAUGGUGGGCUGCGUGCAAAAGGGGAGAAGCCUGAUCUGGCAUUAGUGACUUGCGAUGUUGAUGCAAU
Molecule: unclassified non-coding RNA, 201 nt
Filed under: Hevea brasiliensis (rubber tree)
Lineage: Eukaryota; Viridiplantae; Streptophyta; Magnoliopsida; Malpighiales; Euphorbiaceae
Source: RNAcentral